Molecule: ribosomal RNA, 433 nt
Filed under: uncultured bacterium
Lineage: Bacteria
Description: partial 16S ribosomal RNA
Rfam family: Bacterial small subunit ribosomal RNA
Source: RNAcentral
AACGAACGCUGGCGGCAUGCCUAACACAUGCAAGUCGAACGAGACCUUCGGGUCUAGUGGCGCACGGGUGCGUAACGCGUCGUAACCUGCCCUUAGGUUCGGAAUCACUCCCCGAAAGGGGUGCUAAUACCGGCUAAUGUCUUCGGACCAAUGAUCUAUCGCUCUUGGAUGGGCCCGCGUUGGUUUAGCUAGUUGGUAGGGUAAAAGCCUAACAAGGCGACGAUCCAUAGCUGGUCUGUGAGGAUGAUCAGCCACACUGGGACUCAGACACGGCCCAGACUCUUACUGGAGGCAGCAGUGGGGAAUAUUGGACGAUGGGCGAAAGCCUGAUCCAGCAAUGCCGCGUGGGUGAUGAAGGCCUUAGGGUUGUAAAGCUCCUUUACCCGGGAUGAUAAUGACGGUACCGGGAGAAUAAGCUCCGACUAACUCCGUG